RNAcentral lists this transfer RNA (96 nucleotides) under Mycolicibacterium mageritense DSM 44476 = CIP 104973. RNAcentral's name for it is "tRNA-???(tccg)". The record is from RNAcentral. Lineage: Bacteria; Bacillati; Actinomycetota; Actinomycetes; Mycobacteriales; Mycobacteriaceae.
CCGGCCAGUGGCGCGGCUCUCAGAUACCACGGCUUUCCGACGCUGUCGGGGUCGUGGAAGAAUUCGCGCGGCGUCUCCGAGUACACCAGGCCGGCC